Molecule: ribosomal RNA, 738 nt
Filed under: uncultured Sphingobacterium sp.
Lineage: Bacteria; Pseudomonadati; Bacteroidota; Sphingobacteriia; Sphingobacteriales; Sphingobacteriaceae
Description: bacterial SSU rRNA
Rfam family: Bacterial small subunit ribosomal RNA
Source: RNAcentral
AGAGUUUGAUCAUGGCUCAGGAUGAACGCUAGCGGCAGGCCUAAUACAUGCAAGUCGGACGGGAUUCAGGGAGUAGCUUGCUACGAACUGAUGAGAGUGGCGCACGGGUGCGUAACGCGUGAGCAACCUACCCAUAUCAGGGGGAUAGCCUCUCGAAAGAGAGAUUAACACCGCAUAACAUCAUUAACCGGCAUCGGAUUAUGAUCAAAUAUUUAUAGGAUAUGGAUGGGCUCGCGUGACAUUAGCUAGUUGGAGAGGUAACGGCUCACCAAGGCUACGAUGUCUAGGGGCUCUGAGAGGAGAAUCCCCCACACUGGUACUGAGACACGGACCAGACUCCUACGGGAGGCAGCAGUAAGGAAUAUUGGCCUAUGGAGGCAACUCUGAACCAGCCAUGCCGCGUGCAGGAUGACUGCCCUAUGGGUUGUAAACUGCUUUUGUCAGGGAAUAAACCUUUCUACGUGUAGAAAGCUGAAUGUACCUGAAGAAUAAGGAUCGGCUAACUCCGUGCCAGCAGCCGCGGUAAUACGGAGGAUCCAAGCGUUAUCCGGAUUUAUUGGGUUUAAAGGGUGCGUAGGCGGUCCUAUAAGUCAGUGGUGAAAGACGGCAGCUUAACUGUCGCAGUGCCUUUGAUACUGUAGGACUUGAAUCUAUUUGAAGUGGGCGGAAUAAGACAAGUAGCGGUGAAAUGCAUAGAUAUGUCUUAGAACUCCGAUUGCGAAGGCAGCUCACCAAGUU